GCCAGUGGGGAAUUUUGCGCAAUGGGCGAAAGCCUGACGCAGCAACGCCGCGUGAGUGAUGAAGGCUUUCGGGUCGUAAAGCUCUGUCGAGGGGAAAGAAGUGUAUUGCGGCUAAUAUCCGCGAUACUUGACGGUACCCCUAAAGGAAGCACCGGCUAACUCCGUGCCAGCAGCCGCGGUAAUACGGGGGGUGCAAGCGUUGUUCGGAUUUAUUGGGCGUAAAGAGCGUGUAGGCGGUUUGUUAAGUCUGUUGUGAAAGCCCUGGGCUCAACCCAGGAAGUGCACUGGAUACUGGCAGACUUGAAUACGGGAGAGGGUAGUGGAAUUCCUAGUGUAGGAGUGAAAUCCGUAGAUAUUAGGAGGAACACCGGUGGCGAAGGCGGCUACCUGGACCGAUAUUGACGCUGAGACGCGAAAGCGUGGGUAGCAAACAGGAUUAGAUACCCUGGUAGUCCACGCCGUAAACGAUGAGAACUAGGUGUUGCGGGUAUUGACCCCUGCAGUGCCGCAGCUAACGCAUUAAGUUCUCCGCCUGGGAAGUACGGUCGCAAGACUAAAACUCAAAGGAAUUGACG
Molecule: ribosomal RNA, 575 nt
Filed under: uncultured bacterium
Lineage: Bacteria
Description: bacterial SSU rRNA
Rfam family: Bacterial small subunit ribosomal RNA
Source: RNAcentral